RNAcentral lists this non-coding RNA (823 nucleotides) under Pongo abelii (Sumatran orangutan). The record is from RNAcentral. Lineage: Eukaryota; Metazoa; Chordata; Mammalia; Primates; Hominidae.
AGAAGCUGCGAAGAUGGCGGAGUAAGGCCUGCCGCUGUAAACUGGCCUCUGGGCCGGGGGCGCACAGCCCCCGGGAGGCCGAGUGCAUCUGUUGGACCGUGCUAGGAGAAGAAAAAAAAGAGAUCGGCCAGAGGAAAGGAACUAACCGAACAUUCUUCCUCCCUACCUUACAGAGGGGAGUGGUCAUCUAUACUAAAGCAAAGUGUCAUGCGCGUCUGUGCGAAGAGACCACCAAACAGGCUUUGUGUUCCUUAUCACAGGAAGAAAAUUUUCCUUGACCUUUAGGUGCUUUUAUAUUCAUCUCAAAAACAAAAUUCUGAACUCAGGACUUGGCAAGAGGUGUAAGCGAAGUUGCAGUGCUACCUUAUUUUUCAUUUUUAUUUUUUGGAGACAGAGUCUCACUCUGUUGCCCAGGCUGAGUGCAGUGGUGCAGUCAUGGCUCACUGCAACCUCAACCUCCAGAGCUCAAGCGAUCUUCCUGCUUCAGCCUCCUCCAAAGUAGCUGGGACCACAAAAGGGCACCACCACGCCCUGCUAAUUUUUUAUUUUUUGUAGAGUGGGGUCUUGCUGUGUUGCCCAGGCUGGUCUCCAAUUCCUGGGCUCCAGGGAUCCCCCUGCCUCAGCCUCCCCAAAGUGCUGGGAUUACAGGUGUGAGCUGCUGCACCUGGCUUAGUGCUACUUUAAAACACAAAUGUGGCCGGGCCCAGUGGCUCAUGCCUGUAAUCCCAAUAGUUUGGGAGGCUGAAGCGAGUGGAUCUCUUGAGGUUAGGAGUUUGAACCCAGCCUGGCCAACAUGGUGAAACCCCGUUUCUACUAAAAAUAC